Molecule: long non-coding RNA, 997 nt
Filed under: Oryctolagus cuniculus (rabbit)
Lineage: Eukaryota; Metazoa; Chordata; Mammalia; Lagomorpha; Leporidae
Description: lncRNA (ENSOCUG00000039651.1)
Source: RNAcentral
AUGAAGCAGGAGGGGAAGGCAGUGCCGCUUGUUUGCAGGUAUGUCCCUUUGAUGUCUGACCCUGGCAGUUGCUACCUGAAAAUAUUCACUGCGGAUUGGAAACCAUCAAGAAGCGACAACCAAACAGUGGCCCACAGUAGCAUAUCAUUUCCAAAGUUUAAACGCAGAUAUGUCACUGGAGGUGCGCAACCAUCUUGGAAGACAUCAUUCCUGGCACUGUGGAGUUACUGAACCAGCCUUCACAGCUUCCUACCUCUGAUUUCUUGCAGCAUGAUAAAAGUACACCUCUAAUUAAAACAUUCGAGGUAUUUUUUUUUCCUCUUUCCAUUCCUUGCAGUCGAGUAGAAUUGUAAGUCAUAUACAGAAUCCACCACAGGCACAUGGGGCUUUUCCUUACCAUUUUCUACACUUCCUGACUGUGUCCCUUUUUUUUUUUUUUUUUUUUUUUUGGACAGGCAGAAUGGACAGUGAGAAAGAGAGACAGAGAUAAAAGUCUUCCUUUUGCUGUUGGUUCACUCUCCAAUGGCCGCCGUGGCCAGCGCGCUGCGGCCGCCGCACCGCGCUGAUCCAAUGGCAGGAGCCAGGUGCUUAUCCUGGUCUCCCAUGGGGUGCAGGGCCCAAGCACCUGGGCCAUCCUCCACUGCACUCCCUGGCCACAGCAGAGAGCUGGCCUGGAAGAGGGGCAACUGGGACAGAAUCCGGCGCCCCGACUGGGACUAAAACCAGGUGUGCCGGCACCGCAAGGCGGAGGAUUAGCCUACUGAGCCGUGGCGCAGGCCCUGACUGUGUCCUUGACUUUAGUUCCCAACUACACAAAACAAGGCUAACAAGAGCAUUUACCUCACUGACCGUGGUGAGACUGAAAUGAACAAAGAGCUCAUUGCUCACUCUGGCACACUGGAAGCUGUCAGAAAGUGUUACUAUGCAAAGGUUUUUUUAAAAAAAUAUUUGAAGAACUCUAUAAGAUGGGCUGCAAAGGAUAAGGAGCAAGUAUGUC